GCUGCCUUCUGUACCCCCCAUUGUAACACGUGUGUAGCCCCGGACGUAAGGGCCGUGCUGAUUUGACGUCAUCCCCACCUUCCUCACAUCUUACGACGGCAGUCUCUCUAGAGUCCUCAGCAUAACCUGUUAGUAACUAAAGAUAAGGGUUGCGCUCGUUAUGGCACUUAAGCCGACACCUCACGGCACGAGCUGACGACAACCAUGCAGCACCUUCACAACAGCCUUACGGCUAUACUGUUUCCAAUAUAUUCAGUUGCAAUUUAAGCCCGGGUAAGGUUCCUCGCGUAUCAUCGAAUUAAACCACAUGUUCCUCCGCUUGUGCGGGCCCCCGUCAAUUCCUUUGAGUUUCACCGUUGCCGGCGUACUCCCCAGGUGGAAUACUUAAUGCUUUCGCUUGGCCGCUUACUGUAUAUCGCAAACAGCGAGUAUUCAUCGUUUACUGUGUGGACUACCAGGGUAUCUAAUCCUGUUUGAUACCCACACUUUCGAGCAUCAGUGUCAGUAACAGUCUAGUGAGCUGCCUUCGCAAUCGGAGUUCUUCGUGAUAUCUAAGCAUUUCACCGCUACACCACGAAUUCCGCCCACCUCUACUGUACUCAAGACUGCCAGUUUCAACUGCAAUUUUACGGUUGAGCCGCAAACUUUCACAACUGACUUAACAAUCCACCUACGCUCCCUUUAAACCCAAUAAAUCCGGAUAACGCUCGGAUCCUCCGUAUUACCGCGGCUGCUGGCACGGAGUUAGCCGAUCCUUAUUCAUAUGGUACAUACAAAAUUCCACACGUGGAAAACUUUAUUCCCAUAUAAAAGAAGUUUACGACCCAUAGAGCCUUCAUCCUUCACGCUACUUGGCUGGUUCAGGCUCUCGCCCAUUGACCAAUAUUCCUCACUGCUGCCUCCCGUAGGAGUUUGGACCGUGUCUCAGUUCCAAUGUGGGGGACCUUCCUCUCAGAACCCCUAUCCAUCGUAGUCUUGGUGGGCCGUUACCCCGCCAACAAACUAAUGGAACGCAUCCCCAUCGAUAACCGAAAUUC
Molecule: ribosomal RNA, 1037 nt
Filed under: Bacteroides ovatus
Lineage: Bacteria; Pseudomonadati; Bacteroidota; Bacteroidia; Bacteroidales; Bacteroidaceae
Description: partial 16S ribosomal RNA
Source: RNAcentral